This 491-nucleotide ribosomal RNA is filed under the name uncultured bacterium. RNAcentral's name for it is "partial 16S ribosomal RNA". It matches the Rfam family "Bacterial small subunit ribosomal RNA", at positions 30 to 506 of the family's 1533-position model. The record is from RNAcentral.
AGUGAACGCUGGCGGUAGGCCUAACACAUGCAAGUCGAACGGCAGCACAGUAAGAGCUUGCUCUUACGGGUGGCGGGUGGCGGACGGGUGAGGAAUACAUCGGAAUCUACUUUUUCGUGGGGGAUAACGUAGGGAAACUUACGCUAAUACCGCAUACGACCUACGGGUGAAAGCAGGGGAUCUUCGGACCUUGCGCGAUUGAAUGAGCGGAUGUCGGAUAACCUAGUUGGGGGGGUAAGGGCCCCCCAAGGCGACGAGCCGUAGCGGGUCUGAGAGGAUGUUCACCGACACAGGAACUGAGAGACGGGCCAAACACCUACAGGAGGCGGCGGUGGGGAGUAUAGGGCAAUGGGCGCAAGCGUGUGCCAGCGAUACCGCGUGGGUGAAGAGGGCCUUCGCGUGGUAAAGCCCUUUUGUGGGGAAAGAGAAGCAGCGGGUUAAUUCCCCGCUGUUCUGACGGUACCCAAAGAGUAGGCACCGGCAAAUACGGG